CAACCAGACUCCUACGGGAGGCAGCAGUGGGGAAUAUUGCACAAUGGGGGAAACCCUGAUGCAGCGACGCCGCGUGAGUGAAGAAGUAAUUCGUUAUGUAAAGCUCUAUCAGCAGGGAAGAAAAUGACGGUACCUGAGUAAGAAGCCCCGGCUAACUACGUGCCAGCAGCCGCGGUAAUACGUAGGGGGCAAGCGUUAUCCGGAUUUACUGGGUGUAAAGGGAGCGUAGACGGCGGUGCAAGUCUGGAGUGAAAGCCCGGGGCCCAACCCCGGGACUGCUCUGGAAACUGCGUCGCUGGAGUACGGGAGGGGCAGGCGGAAUUCCUGGUGUAGCGGUGAAAUGCGUAGAUAUUAGGAGGAACACCAGUGGCGAAGGCGGCCUGCUGGACGAUGACUGACGUUGAGGCUCGAAAGCGUGGGGAGCAAACAGGAUUAGAUACCCCAGUAAG
RNAcentral lists this ribosomal RNA (449 nucleotides) under uncultured bacterium. Its description in RNAcentral is "bacterial SSU rRNA". It matches the Rfam family "Bacterial small subunit ribosomal RNA", at positions 328 to 793 of the family's 1533-position model. The record is from RNAcentral.